Molecule: ribosomal RNA, 510 nt
Filed under: uncultured bacterium
Lineage: Bacteria
Description: partial 16S ribosomal RNA
Rfam family: Bacterial small subunit ribosomal RNA
Source: RNAcentral
GACGAACGCUGGCGGCGUGCUUAACACAUGCAAGUCGAACGAAGAGCGAUGGAAGCUUGCUUCUAUCAAUCUUAGUGGCGAACGGGUGAGUAACGCGUAAUCAACCUGCCCUUCAGAGGGGGACAACAGUUGGAAACGACUGCUAAUACCGCAUACGAUCCAAUCUCGGCAUCGGGACUGGAUGAAAGGUGGCCUCUAUUUAUAAGCUAUCACUGAAGGAGGGGAUUGCGUCUGAUUAGCUAGUUGGAGGGGUAACGGCCCACCAAGGCGAUGAUCAGUAGCCGGUCUGAGAGGAUGAACGGCCACAGUGGGACUGAGACACGGCCCAGACUCCUACGGGAGGCAGCAGUGGGGAAUCUUCCGCAAUGGACGAAAGUCUGACGGAGCAACGCCGCGUGAGUGAUGACGGCCUUCGGGUUGUAAAGCUCUGUUAAUCGGGACGAAUGGUUCUUGUGCGAAUAGUGCGAGGAUUUGACGGUACCGGAAGAGAAAGCCACGGCUAACUACGUG